This is an RNA transcript of Carassius gibelio (silver crucian carp), 5173 nucleotides long. It is a transcript of the gene named stonin-2, with no coding region annotated. The transcript is spliced from 8 exons. NCBI's taxonomy places the organism in Eukaryota, Metazoa, Chordata, Actinopteri, Cypriniformes, Cyprinidae. The record is from RefSeq and is a predicted model, not a curated record.
UGUCCAAUCAGCUGCGAGUAAGGUGGGGCAAUAGACAAGAUUCACCGGGAGCGAGUGAGAGCUACCGUCUGCUUGGACUCAACAACACGAUAUCGCCAUCCUAGGUGGGCAUGGAGUCCAAGAUUUGGGAAGAGUGAGACGACGUUACACGGUACAAGACACAGGACAGGACAACUCCCAUGGCUGCUACAACCAGUAGCAGAACUGAAACCAGACCAGGCUGGGUUGCUUUUUCAGAUGAGGAGUCAAAGGCAGGUGAGGACCACCUCCCGCCUUUAGACCAGCCUGUGCUGGACUCCUCUACUUGGGCAGAAGUACCAUUUCUGUCUGGUCCGACAGCAGAGCAGCCGAAUUCUUGGGUUCAGUUUGAUGACAAAGCAUGGCCACCCUCUCUUCCUCUCCCAUCACAAGUAGAGGAUUGUUUUAUUGCAGGUCCCAGGCAUAGCAUUUGCUCUUCUGCCAGUUUCUGGAGUGCCGUUCCCCCAUCAGAGAGCGGCUGGACCACCCAAUCAGAGGAGCAGAGCUCUGUGAGCAUGGGGGCGUCUUCCUGUGACCUCCCAUCUCUUAACACUGAAGAGCCUUCCAGUCAAACACCCUCCUGUCCCCACUCUCCUAAUUCUUCUGUGUGCCAAGAAGAUGAAGGAAUGAACAUGGAUUCAUUCAACUGGACAGCAAACAACCAACACACCAAUGGCCAAGCUUAUGUCACCUCCUACCGCUUUGCCAGCUGGGUCACUUUUGAAGAUGAUGAGGACUCCGUUUUCCAACCUCCAGGGAGACAGUCUAAUAUAAAACUGGAUAACCUCAACAAUCCUCCUCUGCAGGAUGCCAACAGCAAUCUGAUCUCCUCUUCUUCUUGUGGCCAGAAGACAGAGGGACACAUCCUGGGCUUGACCCCUGAUGGCACUAAUGCCAUGUUUGCCUUUAAUAGCACACUAUCAAACAACAGCGUUCCUUACAACAAGAAAAACCCUUUCCUGGAUGAUGAGUUCUCAAACCUACAACCUUCUCCUAUUAACCCAUUCAGUGCCUAUUUUGACAAUACAGACCUGAAAACAUCCCAAGGCAUUGGCUUGUGUCAGGAGGUAUCAGAUGUGUCCACCUUCAGCUCGCCAUUCUUUGAGUAUCAAGAUGCUGAUAUAAAAAGGGAGUCUCUGUUGCUUUUUUCAUCACAGAAAGACUCUGUAGUUGCAAAACAUAGUAUCCCAUCAGGAUUUCCUGUAGAUGGUCUGGAUCAGCUCAGGAAUAUACACAUCUCUGACCCUGACAAUGACUGUAGUCCUACUCUACCAGAUGAUUCAGUGGAGGUAGUUGACUCUGAUGAUUCAGCCUAUAAACCAGACCAUAUGACUCCUCAGGAAGGUUGGCCCAUGCUCCUGCGCAUCCCUGAGAAGAAGAACAUCAUGUCCUCACGUCACUGGGGACCAAUAUUUGUCAGGUUGACGAACAGUGGCCAGCUGCAACUAUUCUAUGAGAAAGGACUGGAAAAGCCUUUCAAAGAGUUCCAGCUGAACUCUCAGCAUGAAAUAUCUGAACCUAAGCUCCAAAACUACGACGAGAAUGGCCGUGUUCAUACCAUCAGUGUAGACCAUGUGGUUUACAAAGAGAAAAGGAAGAUCCAGCCCAAGGUCACUGUGGUUCAUAUGCCUGUAAGAGAGCAAGUGGUAAAGCUUGGGACAACACACUACCAAGACUUCUUGAGCUUUCAACAUACUCUGCAGGAGAGGCUUGUGGGCCUCUCAGUAGAUCAAGAAGGUCUAAACUUGCCAACGACUUACACUGAGGAGGAGAUCCAUGUGGAGGUGAGGGAUAACUUCUAUGGGAUUGUCUCCAAAAGGGACAGCCGUAUCUUGGAGCAGCAAGUUAUGACCCGAGUGUAUAUGCUUGCCUUCUUGAAUGGAUCCCCACCUUGCAGUAUCGGCCUAAAUGAUGUCAAGGUCAAAGGUAAAGAGGUGGUUUCUCGGCAUGACAUAAUUCCCAACUCAACAUCACGUUGGAUUCAACUGCGGGAUAGUCGACUGCAUGAGUGUGCAGACCAGUUAGAGUUUGCAGAGUCCCAAGCUAUUACAUUUAGUCCACUGGUUGGUCGUCGCUUUGAACUGCUGCGUUUCCGUACGGCAUUUGCUGAAAAAUCCCUUCCAUUCACUCUGAGAACAGUCGCUUGUGUCAAGGAUGCUGAAGUGGAGAUGCAGUCCUGGCUGGUGAUGUCAACAGGGUUUUCAUCCAAUCGGGAUCCUUUAACAUUAAUACCAUGUGAGAAUGUUGCUAUCCGUUACCCCAUACCAGAAAUUUGGGCAAAGAACUUUAAGCGGGAGAGUGUGACAGGAGAGAAAUCCUUGAAGGCUCGCUUCAAUAAAGGAGCCAGUUUUGGUUCGACCAGUACGUCAGGUUCCGAACCGGCCAUGAGGGUCACGUUUGGCACAGCGAAAUAUGAACAGGCCUUCAGAUCUGUAGUGUGGAGGAUCAGUCGCCUGCCAGACAAGAACUCAGCACUCGGACAUCCUCAUACGUUCUUCUGUCAUUUGGAGCUGGGUUCAGAUUGGGAGGUGCCUGCAAAGUUUGAGUGCCUGGUGGAGGUUGAGUUUGACAUGCCCUCUGCUUCUGCAUCCAGAACCACUGUUCGUUCUCUGUCCGUGGGGGACAGAACUGACUUGAAGAAAUGGAUCACCUACAAAUCACAUUACUCCUAUCAGGUGGCAGUGGAGCAGAAGAAUGAGAGCACAUUGGAAAGCCCUCAGAAGUAGCAACCAGGCCAGUGCCCUCAACAGUGAGGAACAAGGAGGAGAGGAAGGUUUAUAGCUUGCACUUGUUGAACAAGAGAAUGUUCAACCCUAAACUAGGGUGCUGAAUGGCUUUCCUUAAUAUUGUCAAGUGCUUCACCAGAGAUUUUUCUACUUCUGAAUCAGGGCUAUUUGGCCUUUUUCAGGACAAAGACCAAUGUUUCAUAUUACAUACAAUUGCAAGUGUAUGAUACAACCAAAUGUUAAAAUAACAUGCAUAUAGUACAAUUUUACAUCUGAUGCUUACAUUGCAAAGCCAUUAGAUAAUUUUAGGCUUAAAUCACCAGUUUUCUUAGAUAAUGUUGUUAGAGAAAAAACAGUUUGGAUGCUGGGCUAUUCAGUGACUGAGCUGCGGUGUAGGCAGUCAUCAGUUUGCACUAAAUAGAUCGGUCUAGAACAUUUAUUAUUGUACAGCGGUAAUAGAACCAGGGCUUUAACUUUCAUAGCUGUCUGCACUUUCAGACAUUUUCACAUUUAUCCUCAAAUUUUCUGGGUAAUGAUCUGACUUUUUGCUUUUAUAUGCCCUCUUUCCCAUUAUUAAUUUUUGUCCUGCAUUGGUCUUUUUGUAUAUGCUUUGUUGCUGCUACAAUAUACAGAUGAUGUCAGAUAGGUUUGUGAUAAAUAUCAUGAACCUAUACUUUUCCAGUCUAUAGCCUGAAUCUAAAAUGUGAAGAAAGUAUUAGCCCCUCAAAUGAUCGUAGUCAACAUUUCAUGGGUUUCCAUAGUUACCAUCUCAAAAUUUGAAAUGCGGCAGAUGUGAAGGAAAGGUCCGCUCGAGACUAAGACCUGCAACUUUAUUGUAUUUUCCUACGCUGAUGAUAUAGAGGAUCCUGGAUAGGCUUGAGCGUUCUGAACCCGUGAUAUUUUGGAAAAGUAAUAGCUUUGAUCUAGAGAGAAAUUAGGACUUUUUUUUUUAUUCUGCAGAGCAGCAAUUUCCCAGCGCUUGUCGAGUGACACUAGUUGAAGCAGAUAUUGAUCUGGCAGAGGUUUCUCUCCUGCAGGGACAGCGCCUUUGAGGAUUCUUACAUUCUUAAUAAUUCAUCCUCUGUCUGCACAUGCAUAAAUGUGAUAGGGUGAGACUAUUUCAGGAGAUUCAGUUGAACUAUAGUCAUUUUAAUUCAAUAUCUCCAAAGCUCACAUGGACUGUUCUCAAGGUUCAAAGUUAGAUUUUUUUCCCCAGUUAAUAUUAUUUUUAACAGAAGCUGUAAAUUUAUGUUUUUAUAAUCACAAACAUGAACAAGUGAUUUGUUACAAUCUAACUUUAGAUAGAUAGAUAGAUAGAUAGAUAGAUAGAUAGAUACAGUAGAUAGAUCUUACCCAGCAGAGGGCGCCAACAACAAACUUUAUUUAAAAAUGGAGAGCGAUGACUCAACAGCUGCUUCACCCUAGUUGUCCACACACUGACAGAUGCUUUUCUUGGGCUACAUUUUUGAAGUGGUUUGUAUUCAUCUGCAGAGUAUUUCAUCAGUAUAUAAUGUUUCUAUGUGCUAAAUAUGGUCCUUUUUAACUCAGUUUGGCUCAACUUCUGCCAUAACUCCUAUAUACGAUGGCAUAAAAAAAACUGACAAAUCACCAUGUCCAAAAUUUACUGUAUGUCCUAUUUUUGUCAGUUUGUCAUAUUGAUGUGGCAUGCAGUGCGUGUGAUGAAUCCACAUUAUUGAUUUCUUCUGGGUGGGUUAAUGUUCUGCCGGUGUGGGUGGCAUACACACUGUGCGCUGCCAAGAUGGUUGGCACAACCAUCUGGCCAGCAAAGCCGAGGGCACUGUAGCGGAUCUUAGCGUGUUCAGAAUGUCCUAUCAAGCCGUCUGCAUGUUUGUUUAUCAGUCUUUUUAUUUGUCAAUUUGCUGUCUGUCUGGGAACAGAAGAAGGUCAGGGAAGACUGCCAAACCUACAAAAUGACCCUGUUGACCAAUAAAGUGCCAAAGCUAAAACUCGGAUCACAGAUCAAAGAUUAUGGUGUUCCCGGUUGCAUCAUGGUCUCACGAUGUCUUAAUUUAAUAUGAAAAUGCUGUCAUUUAUUCGCUCUCAUGUUAUUCCAAACCCAUCUGAGCAAGAAUUUAAAACAAACACAAACUUAAUUUACUAGUGCUUUUUUUGAAAUGCCGUUAUAGUUAAAGGGGGGGUGAAAUGCUAUUUCAUGCAUACUUUUUUACACCGUUAAAGAGUUGGAUUCCUAUGCUAAACAUGGACAAUGUUUCAAAAAUUAAGUUGUACAUUUGAAGGAGUAUUUCUGUUACAAAAAUACUCCUUCCGGUUUGUCACAAGUUUCGUAAAGUUUUUUUCGAGUAUGGCUCUGUGUGACGUUAGAUGGAGCGGAAUUUCCUUAUAUGGGUCCUAAGGCACUUCUCCAGGAAGAGCACGCGCUCCCGUAUAGCAGAGCACUGAGAGCACAA